CUUUGCCAGACAACAAGCUUCCAACAUGAGGACCAUGAUGAAGCGGUUUUAAAGGGACACAUGGAUUUCAUGGUCGAAGAGAUGUCCAGGCGCUCACCGGACGUAAAAAAACUGAGUGACUCUAUGGAGCAGACACGUUCCUCAAGAAGAUCGUGGAUUAUGGAGAAGCAGCCAACGACAGCCGAAAUACUUGAAAAGUAUCCGGUUUUAUCAAAUGCUGAAAUGGUCUGUAUAAUGUGAUCACAAUGUUUGCAUUGCAUGCUUUCACUUAUAUUUACCAGAUGUCUUUCUGCCUCGUACAGGUUUUCAGAAAUAGCCUGUGAAAGGGUUACUAGGUGUUUAGCUCCACGAAGAGUUCACGGCUGUCACGGGCAUUGAGAUGGAAACGAAGUUGUUGGCAUUCAUCAACAACUACGGUCAGAAGUGUCUCGACUUAGUGAAGUGUCGUCGCUCGGCAAAAGAGUCUGUACAGCAGCUUGAGGCUGAGCUUGAACAACUGGAAGAAAAUGCCCGUAAAUAUCGGUUUGCAGUUGGCUGUGUAGAACUGCUGCCAUUACUAGUGAGAGAACAGCCAAACUUUUUGAGGGGCCCUGUAAACAACUUCACAUUUCAUUUUCUGUUUUACCAUUUUGUUUCUGCUGCUAAUAGGGAGUACUAACGUUUAUAUCUUAAACUUUACAGGACGUGCACCCUACCCUUCAUUUUGAGGGCACAAAUGCUUAUGAGGCAAGAGACAUCACUUGUCUUUGAAGCUUUCAACAUUGAAGUCAUCGACAUAAUAGCCGGUAUGACAGCUGUCAUGGAACUGUAUUGGGUGCUCGAUGUAAAGUAUGCGGACCACAACAAGAACACCUUAGCACUGUUGGAGCACUUCUGCGAUUUGCCAAGUGUGCCGAAAGCGCCAUUGCUUCUGAGGGCCAUUUCUGCGAUCAAAAGUGGAUCAAACAGCGUGGGCCAAUGAGUGGAAAUAUAGAGCGAAUAAACAAUGAAAACUACUUGUGAAGUACUGUGUUUCUUCAUUAUGGCUUUUCACAUGAGCCAUGGUUCUGGUUACGUUUGCACAAAAUUAGUUAAUGAGAGAGUAGUGUAUGUGUCACGAAAGUUACUGAGCUAGCACUAUCAUUACGAAGUUCAAUUAUUAAGAGGGUUGGACGUGUUACUAACUGCAGUCACUGAGAGGUUAGGACCAGUUACUAACUGUAGUUACUAAGAAGGUAGUAUUUGUUACUAACAUGCUGCUCACUCCAGUUACUAAGAGGGUAGCAACUGUUACUGAAUGCAUUUACUAAGAGGUUAGAACCAGUUACUAACUGCAGUUACUAAGAAGGUAGUAUCUGUUACU
Dermacentor silvarum is the source of this 1342-nucleotide RNA transcript. RefSeq lists it as uncharacterized. The record is from RefSeq and is a predicted model, not a curated record. Lineage: Eukaryota; Metazoa; Arthropoda; Arachnida; Ixodida; Ixodidae. The transcript has 3 exons.